RNAcentral lists this ribosomal RNA (411 nucleotides) under Leptodactylus mystaceus (basin white-lipped frog). RNAcentral's name for it is "partial 16S ribosomal RNA". It matches the Rfam family "Bacterial large subunit ribosomal RNA", at positions 1822 to 2422 of the family's 2925-position model. Lineage: Eukaryota; Metazoa; Chordata; Amphibia; Anura; Leptodactylidae. The record is from RNAcentral.
CUUGAUAAACUUAUAAGAGGUCCAGCCUGCCCAGUGACUCUGUUCAACGGCCGCGGUAUCCUAACCGUGCGAAGGUAGCGUAAUCACUUGUUCUUUAAAUGAGGACUAGUAUGAAUGGCACCACGAAGGUUAUACUGUCUCCUUUUUCUAAUCAGUGAAACUAAUCUUCCCGUGAAGAAGCGGGAAUAAAAAUAUAAGACGAGAAGACCCUAUGGAGCUUUAAACAAAUAUACACCUGCCUUCCCACCAAAAAAAUUUCAGCAAACAAAUAAUUACCCAGGCAUUUUGAUAUAGCGUUUUAGGUUGGGGUGACCACGGAGCAAAAAACAACCUCCGCAACGAACGGGAAAAUCUUUCCCUAAACCAAGGGCCACGACCCCAAGUAUCGAUAAAUCGACACUAAUUGACCCA